UAGAGGAAGUAAAAGUCGUAACAAGGUCUCCGUUGGUGAACCAGCGGA
Molecule: ribosomal RNA, 48 nt
Filed under: Xylaria sp. HN18-2B
Lineage: Eukaryota; Fungi; Ascomycota; Sordariomycetes; Xylariales; Xylariaceae
Description: partial 18S ribosomal RNA
Source: RNAcentral